RNAcentral lists this long non-coding RNA (2997 nucleotides) under Homo sapiens (human). RNAcentral describes it as "HSALNT0101074". Lineage: Eukaryota; Metazoa; Chordata; Mammalia; Primates; Hominidae. The record is from RNAcentral.
GCCAGCAAGGGAGACAGUGUCUAGAGGCAGUCAUCUAGCAAGAUGGAGACUUACAACAUGAGGCACAUACAAGAGUGACCUCCCAUCGUCUUUGAGGCAUUCUAUUUCUUGUGUCUUUGUGAAGCUUCCUAUCUUUGCUUUUCAACUAAGAUGAAACAGCAUUUAAAAGAAAAUGCCAUGUGAGAUGAGAUCAGGAGAAUGGAUUCUUUCUUUCAUCUGAAUAGAGAGCUGCUGUUCGAGAUUCUAACUCAAAUAGCUCAAAGGACACCUUCUCCGGGAAACCUUCCCUGACUUCCGACGCUGUUUCCUGUUGGAUGUGGUCUUGGAAAAAUUGCUACUUUUUGAAGUCUUGAAGUCUCAAUUUCUUUACCUGCCCCCCCGCCCCAAAAGUCAUUGAAAUCUGUUGUGAAGAUGACAGGAAAUAAAGGGUAACCAGAACAUGAGUUCCACAGUAACUGGAACAUGAGAGGUAGAGCCAGAAGGGGCAUCUAUGUAAAUCAUUUGGAGUUUUUGCCUUUCCUCUUAGAAGAAAAAUAUGAAUGAUUUGACUGAACAGGCCUAUAGCCAAACCCAAGAUGAUCUUUCCAAGCGUGAACUCCAUCUUCAAACUUCUAAUCUUAAACCUUAAAGAAGAAACUAUGGCAAUGUCUCUUCCACCACUCUUGACUAGCAUGAUGUGUUGCCAAAAGACUUCAGAUCAUAAGUGCGAAAUAAAAAAUCAAAAAUUGACUGCAUCUUUUCUCAUUGCUCAACAACUGUCAAACAACUGAGAAAUUUGUUUUGGAUGAAGCAGUAACAUUCCUUCUUCCACUCCCAGCCCCAUUCCACGUAGUCUGCAGUUCCUCACUGACCACUGAUUGAUGUCAACGUGCAAACUCUCAGACAGAAGACAAGAAAUAUGUCCUGGGUUUUCUGGUUCCUCAAGCUUCUGACUAGGACCAGAGCCAGCAAUUACACACACUUAUCCCUAUUCUUUCCAUGAAUGCAGAGAAAGAAAGACCUUCUUGGGCUGUAAGAAAUACUCUAUUCCUCACACAUAAUAACUAAGGCUCAGCAGCUUGUAAAAAGGCAUGGUCCAGGGCAUGUCAGGACAAGGAAGAGCGGUAAGUUGUUUCUCUGUCUUUCCUCUGUAUUCUUUCAUAAUUGGGACAAGGCCUCAGCUGACAAGGAGCUGGCAGAACACUGGGGACAGCUGGUAUGUAAGAACCAACACCGUCCCAUCAGUCAUUUAUUCAACACAUGUUUAUUGAGUAUCUGCAACGUGACUGCACCGUUAUAGAGUCUGCAUUGUUGUAGGUCCUGAGAAAAAAACUGCAAAGCAAAAGUACACACAGGCUUGCCCUCCUGAAAUGUACAGUCAGGUGGAGAUGGCAGAUAUUAAGAAACUAACUUGUGCUAUUGAAGUUUAAAAGAAAGGGAUCUUACUGAGUCUGAGGAGAGGGAUGAAUCAAUGCAGACUUCCUAGAAGAACUGGCAUAUAAACCAAGAACUGAAAGAGGAAUAGACAUUAAACCAGAAAACAGAAUGGAAGAAAAAUAGAUUUACGAUGCAAAAACCGUAAAGGAAAGAGUUCAGUAUGACUGGAAUAUAUAGACAGAAGAUAAUGGUUUAUGAUAAGACUGAAAAGGAAUGCAGGGUCUAGAUAAAGAGACUCUUCAAAUUAGUAAGAAUUUUUUUGAGACAAUAAAAGACCAUUUUGCUUUGGCAAAAUAAUAAUAAUAAUAACACUCAGUGUAGUGUGAACUAUAAAUUUAGGAGAGCAAGAGUAAUUGUGGGGAAAUCAGUUAAGAGACUUGCUUUAGCCAAGAAAACAGUUGAUGUUGGAUUAAACCAUGGAGAAGAUAAUGGAGAUAAUGACAAGUGGACAGAUUUUGGAAAUCAAUAUCUUUUGGUAAUUAAUUGAACAUAGGAGAAAGAAGAAAAGAUGGGGUUACAUAGGACUCUGAAAUUUCUGAACAAUCAGCUGGGAAGAUGAUAGCAUUAUUUGUUGUGUAAAGAACAUGAGAAGAGGCUCGGGAUUGGAAGGACACAUGAGGAGCUCUGGUUUUGACACAGUGAGUGUGGUAUAUGGGCUCUCACUUACGUGGGUCUAGAGCUAAGAAGAGAAGUCAUGGGUUGGACGCAAAAGUGUGGGUUUUGGCAGCAUUUAGGUAGUAAAAAUUUGGCAAAUGGUUAAGAGUAUAUUACAGGAAAAGAAAAUAAUUUAGGUCAGAGUCCAGAGGAAAGCAUACAUUUAACACAGAAGAAUAAAACCUGAGAAAUAACUGGUAAACGAGAUUAGGAAGCAGUCAGAGAGGAAGAAAGCCAGGAGGAUACGGUGUGGCAUGGAAGCCAAUGGAGAGAUUGUUUCAAGAAGAAGAAGAUAGUUAACAGUAGGGAAUUAUCAACAUAGAGAUUAAGAAAUGUGGAUUUACCAAUAAGGAGGACAUUCGUGUUCUUCAAAAUGAAAACCAGAGAAGAGGUAAAAGCAAAAAAAAAAAAAAAAAAUUGUCAAGAGGCAAGAACAGAACUUGAAAGAGAAUACCAGGAAACCAUGGAAAGUGAAGAUAGACUUAGAGAGUAUGGUCAAAAGUUAGGACAGAGAAAUCAGAUGAGCUGAUCUGAAAUCCAGAAACUAUUCAUGGAGAACACACCCCAGGCGAGUGACUUUUGAAAGUCCUUUCCUUUAUACUUACCUAUAUUAAUUGCUGAAUGUAAAAAUAUCAUAUUUUAAUUAUUUAUUACCAAAAUAAUGUAUUUCCUUGUGGAAUAACUUAAAAAAUGUAGAAGAGUAAAGAAAUGAUCCAUAUUCUUCGCAUAAAAAGAAAAACAAUAUUGAUGUUUGCUCUUUCCAUCAGAAUUGUCCAAAUAAAUAAUCAUUCUAUACACAUUACUUUGAAAUAUGUUUUCUUUGCAUAAUAUUUUAGCAUAACCAAUUAUAUUUUAUUAUAAGUUGGGUUGAGUUGGAUCAUUACAUUUGAAGUAAAAUUUAAGAAAUAGUAAUUAAACUUUUUAAAG